Molecule: transfer RNA, 83 nt
Organism: Trichoderma virens Gv29-8
Lineage: Eukaryota; Fungi; Ascomycota; Sordariomycetes; Hypocreales; Hypocreaceae
Rfam family: tRNA
About the family: Transfer RNA (tRNA) molecules are approximately 80 nucleotides in length. Their secondary structure includes four short double-helical elements and three loops (D, anti-codon, and T loops).
Source: Rfam
GCCGUAAUAGUAUAGUGGACAGUACAUCAGUUUGUGGACCUAGCGAAACACUGAAAACCGAGGUUCGAUUCCUCGUUACGGCA